CAGUCGCCACGGGAACACGAAGGGUGCAAGCGUUACUCGGAAUUACUGGGCGUAAAGCGUGUGUAGGUGGUUGUUUAAGUCUGUCGUGAAAGCCCUGGGCUCAACCUGGGAAUUGCGAUGGAUACUGGGCGACUAGAGUGCGGUAGAGGAUAGUGGAAUUUCCGGUGUAGCAGUGAAAUGCGUAGAGAUCGGAAGGAACAUCUGUGGCGAAGGCGACUAUCUGGGCCAACACUGACACUGAGACACGAAAGCGUGGGGAGCAAACAGGAUUAGAUACCCGCGUAGUCCCUGUCUCUUAUAC
This 301-nucleotide ribosomal RNA is filed under the name uncultured bacterium. RNAcentral's name for it is "partial 16S ribosomal RNA". It matches the Rfam family "Bacterial small subunit ribosomal RNA", at positions 509 to 807 of the family's 1533-position model. The record is from RNAcentral.